Molecule: long non-coding RNA, 2634 nt
Organism: Anas platyrhynchos (mallard)
Lineage: Eukaryota; Metazoa; Chordata; Aves; Anseriformes; Anatidae
Source: RefSeq, a predicted model, not a curated record
AAGAGCUUGGCAUUUACAAGACCCAGGUGCCAAGCUCAGGGGUUUCUUCCCUCAUUAAAGGCAACUGUGUCUGCUUGUCUGGCUCUAUGGCAUACAGCUGUGCUGUCUGACCACAGGGACCUGGCCUUGCUGCUGAGCAGACAUCUUUUGGAAAGUGAAUACACAAGGAGCCCUCACGCUUCCAUGUAUUUUAAAUACACUUUUAAUGUUUUUAUCAAAAAAAGUAAUUGACUUUUCUUUGCUGAAAUGAAUAUCCUGCCUUAUACUGCCAGCUUUCUAGUCUUUCCACCCCAGAAAAAAAAAAAAAAAAAAAAAAGAAAAUCUGACGUUUUACAUAGCUGAUUUGCUCAAAUUUAAAGUUUGUUUUUAAAGCUCGUUUGAAAUUAGACAUUUCUUCUGGAAAUACAGGGUCUCAGAAAAGGUGAGCUGGUAUGCUGAUAACUUCUGGCUCUCAGGACUCCCAUUGCCAAAUAGAAGCCCCCAGACUGUAGAGUGGGGACAGGAGUCAAGACAAGCAAUGCUGAAAUUCGGCAGUGGAUCCAAGAAAUUUAAACUGGAAUUCACAAGUUUUAUCCAGUUUCCUUAUGGCCCAGGUCCUGUAUGGCACACCUGCCAGUGACAGCCUCACCUGUAACUUGUUUUCCUUCUGGAACAGCAGGUCCCAAAUCUGUGUGAUCUCAACAGAGCUGUCUACAAUCAGAAGCUAUGGAAAUUGAAUACAGAAAGAUGUAAUUCAAGGAAGAACUAGAAGAGACCUGUCUUAAGAAAGAUGGAGAUGGCCCCCAUCUUCCUUCCGCAUGCUGCUCUGCCAAGGUACAGGACAUCCCAGUCUGGCUGUAUUCUGCCAGAGAAUUACAGCGGAGAGGAAUUUGUACACUACAACAGAAGCUUAAAAGAAAGAAAUCAUCUGUGUUUUCUCAUUCUGAUCAACAUCUCAAAGCUUGGGCUCGGUCUGCCAAUAUCUUCUGCCUCAUGAGUGAUGGCACUGCAGAGUGUGGAAUGGAUCACAAUCAAAAAGCUGGUCUGUACAAGCGUUUUAAGGUAAUUUGGCCAGCAAAAGCUGCUGCUCAAGAACAUUUGAGAAACACCAUCUCCGAUUGAUGUGCCUUGCCAGACAGGCUCAGCAAAUGACUUUCCCUGGUGCUAUUUUAAAAGUCUUUAGUAGAGUUGUGCAAUUCACACUAAUUCUGAAGAAGUCUCUUGGAACAUGCCAAAGAUAAAGCGUGCGUUUUCAAGACUGCAACAUUUUCCAGAUCUGUUCAUCCCUUUUUGGAGGGCCUGUUGACUGUCAUUAUAUACUGCACUGAAAGAACUAGUAAGUGGCUGCUCUCAAGUUGAUUGCAUUGCCAUUGAUGCCAGAAAGCAUACAAGAAAUAGCUUCACUGCCUGGAUGUGAUUUAAAGAUUGAGGAACAAGUAUUACUUCCAUCGAAGCUGGAACAAACUUUACUCCUGAUGUAAAUGGAAGGAGAAAUCAGUUCUCUUGUAUUUGAAGUGUGAUUUGGUUGAUUAGGCAACAUUAUAUGCUGUUAAUCAGUUAAGUAAAAGAUUCUUAUUGUAUCAAGUGUUAGAUUUUUGUUUUAUUUAGUAUGUUUGUAAGCACAGAAUACUAAAGCCAUAAAGUUUGAGAAACUUUAUACUCAAAGGGAGUAACUUGCUUGUCUAUUUAUAUAUAUACACACAUACAGAGCAUUUCAUGAUAGUUUGACUCUGAUAUUAGCAUGUUUUCCACAUUAUUCAUCACUUGUUUUUUGCAAGUUAGAACAUACUCCAAGCCGUAGGCUGCAUCUGGUGCUGUAAGUGUUUAAAGGCCAUGUAAAAUAAGAAAUUGAUACUGCUAUUGUAUGUAACUUUGUGCUUUUAAAGGGCUUGGAUCAUGUAAAUAAGUGCUGGGUGUCUUGUCCAGCAGUCCAUCCUUGCUGGGAAAAUCCUGAAAAAAACACUUUUCUUUUUUUUAAACAAGAACAGACUAAACCAAAGAAAAGUGUUUUACAAGAAGCAUAGAAUCUAGCAAUAUGGGAAAGCAGAGAGUAAGUAUAAGGACUUUGUGUACUAGUACUCAUCAGAGAUCACCUGCCUUUCCUUGUUACUUCUGCUCUGUAGUUUGAUUUCAAUAAUGUAAUGUACUUUAAGCAAUUACAUUUUGUCAGUUCAAAGAGAUAGCCACUAGAUAGCCUCAGUGUGUCCCUAGAUGUCACCUAAAUUAAAGGUGUCAUCUUUCUAGCUCAAGAAGCCUUAUUCUCUAUUGGACCCAAAAGUCCUGAAAGGAAGAUGGAUUCAUUGCAACUCCACAGGGUCAGUGCAAUGUACCAGCACAUAAUGAACUACAGCGGUUCAGCAGUCCUACAGAAUAUCACAUAUGGGCAUUUGGCAGCCUGUCAGCCCAUAUGCUAUUUCAUGCCAUCAUAUCUAAUGUGAGGGCAUCAGCAGGGAGGGAAAGGACAGCUUUUGUACUUGCUUUAACACAUUUGUGGUGAAAUGUCAAGAAAACAUGAAAGUUUUCCUGAUGACCCCCUAUGUAUUACAAGCUCCACCAAAUAUACCAUAGACUUACACAAGAAGAUGAGCUCACAAUCUGGCUCAGUUGAAGCCCAAGGAACUUAUUUAUUUCAAAUAAAGAAAAUAUUAUGUUUGU